GGUAAGAUGGCCGAGUGGUUAAGGUAAUUCAUCCCAUCUAUAGUUAAUAUAUGAUCACUCCCUAACGAAGAGUAUACAGGCGGCAGAUUUAAGCCCUGCUGACGUAUGUCACCUGGGUUCGAACCCCAGUCUUACCA
Molecule: non-coding RNA, 137 nt
Organism: Aspergillus novoparasiticus
Lineage: Eukaryota; Fungi; Ascomycota; Eurotiomycetes; Eurotiales; Aspergillaceae
Source: the annotation of a GenBank genome assembly